This is a long non-coding RNA of Vespula pensylvanica (western yellowjacket), 941 nucleotides long. RefSeq lists it as uncharacterized. NCBI's taxonomy places the organism in Eukaryota, Metazoa, Arthropoda, Insecta, Hymenoptera, Vespidae. The transcript has 2 exons. The record is from RefSeq and is a predicted model, not a curated record.
CACAUUUUUUAGAGUUACUUGUAAUUUUAAUUAAGAGGAAUAACACUCAAACUUUUUCUUAACGAAACAAAAAAUAUAUUUGAUAUUUAUACAGUAUUAAAUGAAACAAAGUGUAUAACUAAUUCAUAUAACUCAAGUAGGAGACAAAAAAGCGUUUCCUACGUUGCCAGCAAGCACAAAAUUGCUGAACGAGAUUGACUGGACGAAAUCACGCGCUGAUUGGCAACUGGUGUCACAUAUGACACAUAUUGCCUCAAGCGCAUUACCUCCGGCUGGCGCAUAAAUUUAACAGAUCGUUUAUUUGGAUAAGUUUAUAAAGUUAUUGCAUUUUUUGAUUAUAUGCAUUAACUCAAUCUGCUGACUCUAUAAAGGCCUGUCAGUGGAGAUAUUCACCAGUUGUUUCUUGUAUAGGAUUCUGAAAACAGAGUCUGAAUUUCUAUUUAAAGCUACGGUUGAUCAAGCGUCUUCCAAGAGCACAUGCGAACUUAUAUGCAGUGUUUUAUGCACAAAUAGAUUUCUCUCGCAGUGAUGAGCUAUGAGUUUUGAUUUGAUGUUUUAUUUGUACAACCUCAGUUUGUCAAGAAAGAUUUGCAGCUCGAUUGGAAUUUCUUCAUUAAUGAAACAUUCACUUAAUAGUCUAAGCGUUACUCCAAAUAUCAUCUCAGCCACAAAAACUUAGAUUCCCUCAUUAAAACUUGUGUGAAGCUUAUAAUGGAUUGUUGGAUGAUAAGCUGUUCUACGUAUAUUUUUACUUCCGAUAUUUCGACAAGAGAUUCGAAAUACUUGGUCUAUAUGAUCGGCCUAUUAUCGUUCUUCUUGACAUCUACUAACUGAGCGUGUAAUGACACUUGCACUUAGACUAUUUUAAGAAUGAAAGAUUUGCAGAAAUUGAUCAUAUUGUAGAAUCUACUAGUGCCUAAUACAUUCACUAAUAAUGCCAA